Molecule: ribosomal RNA, 484 nt
Filed under: uncultured bacterium
Lineage: Bacteria
Description: partial 16S ribosomal RNA
Rfam family: Bacterial small subunit ribosomal RNA
Source: RNAcentral
AUUGAACGCUGGCGGCAGGCCUAACACAUGCAAGUCGAGCGGAUGAAGGGAGCUUGCUCCUGGAUUCAGCGGCGGACGGGUGAGUAAUGCCUAGGAAUCUGCCUGGUAGUGGGGGAUAACGUCCGGAAACGGGCGCUAAUACCGCAUACGUCCUGAGGGAGAAAGUGGGGGAUCUUCGGACCUCACGCUAUCAGAUGAGCCUAGGUCGGAUUAGCUAGUUGGUGGGGUAAAGGCCUACCAAGGCGACGAUCCGUAACUGGUCUGAGAGGAUGAUCAGUCACACUGGAACUGAGACACGGUCCAGACUCCUACGGGAGGCAGCAGUGGGGAAUAUUGGACCAUGGGCGAAAGCCUGAUCCAGCCAUGCCGCGUGUGUGAAGAAGGUCUUCGGAUUGUAAAGCACUUUAAGUUGGGAGGAAGGGCAGUAAGUUAAUACCUUGCUGGUUUGACGUUACCAUCAGAAUAAGCACCGGCUAACUUCGUG